Peromyscus eremicus (cactus mouse) is the source of this 448-nucleotide long non-coding RNA. RefSeq lists it as uncharacterized. Lineage: Eukaryota; Metazoa; Chordata; Mammalia; Rodentia; Cricetidae. The record is from RefSeq and is a predicted model, not a curated record. The transcript is spliced from 2 exons.
CAGGCUCUUAGAAGAGAGCAGGAAGAGUUAAUGGGACAAUGAGGACAGAGACCCUGCAAAGUAAACAGGCUACAGCCUCUGGGUACCGGCAGGCUGUUCUCUGAGGACUGGGAGUGGGAAAGACUUGGAAAAUUGUCCCAGUAAGUGGCAGACAGGAGGAGGGGGUCAUUUGAGAGAGCGUCCUUCCUAUGAUAAGAGAUGUCUGCUUUGAAUGCUCCUGAGCUGAGGGUGCCUGGCUCUCUGAUCACGUACAUCAGGAAAGUGGCACACCGUGCAAGCAUCUGGCCUUUUCCACGUGGAGCGGGGCAGGAUGUAAAAGAGAAAAGCUGGUGGGAAAGAAAUUGUGACCAGAUGAAGAAUUCCAGUUUCCAAAGAGAUUUCAUUAACUGGGGACAAAAGACAAGAGCGAGGGAGCGGAGAGAGAAUGAAUAAACUCAGGUGGAUCCCA